UGACUCAGGAUUUCAGAGAAUCGAGUCAGCUGUGAUCUUGAGUUUUAAGGAGUCAGUGUGUCCCCUCCCCUCAUAGCACCCGUGCCCACUUGGCCCCCGUAUCAGGCGAAGCAUGGAAGGCUGGACAGCCCAUGACGGGUAAGAUCCCACCUCGAAACCCUGGGACAACCUAAGGCAAGGCGCAGUCACGAUUGCUUGAACCUAGGUCCCUAAGUGAGCUUGGACUCACUGGAGGAGACGGGACUUCAAGGGUAAAGCCGCUGGGGCAGAGGGGGAAAUGUCAUUAACAAUGACGAGUGAUGGGCCAAAGAGGGGAGACACUCACUGUCUUUCAGGGUGAAUUGUUCCCUGAACCUGAAAUCAAGCUCUAACUUCUGGCUGAGGACAAGGAAUGUUGUUAUUUAAGGAGGGAGAUCAAAUUUGGGAAAGAGAAAAACUGACUGUUUAAGUGGAACCUUGUGAGGGAGUCUGAAAAAACCACGAAAAGAAACAUAUACACAAUCAUACACACAAAUAGAAAAUGCAUUAGCCUUAGAAUACAAAAGAGCUCAUGAAGAUCAGAUAGCAGGUUUAGCAUAGGAGUCUGUUUAUCAUCUUGUCCAACUCGCUUAGUGUGUAGUAAGUUUUCAGGAGAGAAAAUUUAGAAUUUAGUGUUGAUGGUGUGCAAGUUGUGUGGUGUUUAACGAGAUUUUCUGUGUUUUGAGCAGGUGAAAUUAUGUUAAGUUGACCUGAGAGUGUCAGGACCCUGAAGAACUUGUGGCAAAAUGUUCUGUGUUUAAGAUUGUUGAGGUUGUUGUUGUAGUGAUGGGUUAUUUCUAUCGGUUAGAUUUGUGUUGUUUUCUUAUUUUAAUAGAGGGAGUUUUAUCAAACAUGCACAUGUCUAAGGGGGUCCAUCAUUUUUGUAACAGUGCACUUAGAAAAACCUGUCAGGUGAUUUUGUUUUGUGUUUUGAUGAGCUAAUAAUCAGCUCUCUUUUUCUCAUUUUUGUUCUAAGCAGGCCUGCAAAAGAGUGGAUAACAGCGCUGAAAAUUCUCGGUGACCUUCUCCAGAUUACAAUGGGCAGAGGAGAAGGCUAAGUCUCUGUCUAAAAGGAUUGCCGCGAGCCAAUCCAGUCUAAAAGCAGAAAGAAUUAUUUCCCUAAAAACAAAGUAAAACAAAUAAAUGAGUUGAUGUUGCUGAGAGUGAAGACUGAAUAUUUGCGAGAUAGUCUCCACUGUCAGCAAUACCUGAUGUUAAUGUAUGUGAGUGAAUGUGUGUAAAUGGAUGGUGACUGGACGGACGAGGCAGACCAU
This is a long non-coding RNA of Oreochromis aureus, 1292 nucleotides long. The record is from Ensembl. NCBI's taxonomy places the organism in Eukaryota, Metazoa, Chordata, Actinopteri, Cichliformes, Cichlidae.